This 690-nucleotide ribosomal RNA is filed under the name Triticum aestivum (bread wheat). Its description in RNAcentral is "partial small subunit ribosomal RNA". Lineage: Eukaryota; Viridiplantae; Streptophyta; Magnoliopsida; Poales; Poaceae. The record is from RNAcentral.
GCCUGGGAUGCCCUCCUCCAGGACAUCGCCCUUCUCCCGAUGAGCGUCAACAACACCCCGGACGCCAUCUCUGGGCGUCUGGAGUCUUCCGGCUGCUUCACCACCAAAUCCCUGUACGCAGCCAUCGCCCCCUCGCCCGCCCCCAAGCCCUUCAGUCUGAUCUGGGACAUCCGCUUGCCCCUGAAAAUCAGGAUCUUCCUGUGGCAAUGGAUUCAUGGCCGCCUCCCUUCCGGAGUAGAGGUCCUCAAGCGUAAUGGACCCAGAGAUGGGCUUUGCCCCCUGUGCGGCACGCUGGAAGAUGCUAAUCACAUCUUCUUCACGUGCUCCACGGCCCAGUUUCUUUGGUCCAGUUUCCGCGAGACGGUUGGAGGCCAGUGGUGCAACUCCAACUUUCCUGACCUUCUCGCAGAGAUCCAUGCCUCCCCCUUCACUACCAACAUAUCAGAUGGCUCUGUGUUGGGGUCCUCGCCUGGACGCUUUGGACUGUUUUCAAUAAGCUAUUCAUCCAAAAGGUGCCUCUUAGACGCGCUACUGACGCCAUUUUUAAAUUGUGUGGGUACUUGCAGCUUUGGCGGCCGCUUAGCCGCCCUCAGGAUCGGGACAUCAUCAACACCCUCCUCGCCGACCUUCGGUCGCUCACCUUUCGCUUGGCGCCUCUGCUACCUCCCCUCCGCCCCCGAGCCCGACUAG